CAGCCGCCGCGGUAACACCAGCCCCUCGAGUGGUGGGUACUAUUAUUUGGCCUAAAGCGUCCGUAGCCGGCUGAAGCCGUCACCCGUUAAAUCCAGCGUCUCAAGCGUUGGACUGCGGGUGAUACCCUUCAGCUUGAGGGUGGGACAGGUCAGCGGUAUUCCCGGGGUAGGGGCGAAAUCCUUUGAUCCCGGGAGGACCACCAGUGGCGAAGGCUGCUGACUAGAACACGCCUGACGGUCAGGGACGAAAGCUGGGGUAGCGAACCGGAUUAGAUACCCGGGUAGUCCCAGCUGUAAACGAUGCGCGCUAGGUGUUGGGUCGGCCACGCGCCGCCCCAGUGCCGCAGGGAAGCCGUUAAGCGCGCCGCCUGGGGAGUACGGCCGCAAGGCUGAAACUUAGAGGAAUUGGCGGGGGAGCAC
RNAcentral lists this ribosomal RNA (420 nucleotides) under uncultured crenarchaeote. Its description in RNAcentral is "bacterial SSU rRNA". It matches the Rfam family "Archaeal small subunit ribosomal RNA", at positions 459 to 879 of the family's 1478-position model. The record is from RNAcentral. Lineage: Archaea; Thermoproteati; Thermoproteota.